Molecule: ribosomal RNA, 893 nt
Filed under: uncultured archaeon
Lineage: Archaea
Description: bacterial SSU rRNA
Rfam family: Archaeal small subunit ribosomal RNA
Source: RNAcentral
UCCGGUUGAUCCUGCCGGAGGUUACUGCUAUCGAGGUUCGACUAAGCCAUGCGAGUCGAAUGUAGCAAUACAUGGCAUACUGCUCAGUAACACGUGGACAACCUACCCUUGAGACGGGGAUAAACCCGGGAAACUGGGUAUAAUACCCGAUAGAUCUCGACUGCUGGAAUGCAUCGAGCUUGAAAGCUCCGGCGCUCAAGGAUGGGUCUGCGGCCUAUCAGGUAGUAGUGGGUGUAGUGUACCUACUAGCCUACGACGGGUACGGGUUGUGAGAGCAAGAGCCCGGAGAUGGAUUCUGAGACACGAAUCCAGGCCCUACGGGGUGCAGCAGGCGCGAAAACUUUACAAUGCUGGAAACAGCGAUAAGGGGACCUCGAGUGCCAGGUUACAAAUCUGGCUGUCGUGAUGCCUAAAAAGCAUUGCAUAGCAAGGGCCGGGCAAGACCGGUGCCAGCCGCCGCGGUAACACCGGCGGCUCGAGUGGUAACCGUUAUUAUUGGGUCUAAAGGGUCUGUAGCCGGCCGGAUAAGUCUCUUGGGAAAUCUGGCAGCUUAACUGUCAGGCUUUCAGGAGAUACUGUCUGGCUCGAGGCCGGGAGAGGUGAGAGGUACUUCAGGGGUAGGGGUGAAAUCUUGUAAUCCUUGAAGGACCACCAGUGGCGAAGGCGUCUCACCAGAACGGACCUGACGGCAAGGGACGAAAGCUAGGGGCACGAACCGGAUUAGAUACCCGGGUAGUCCUAGCCGUAAACGAUACUCGCUAGGUGUCGGCCACGGUGCGACCGUUGUCGGUGCCGUAGGGAAGCCGUGAAGCGAGCCACCUGGGAAGUACGGCCGCAAGGCUGAAACUUAAAGGAAUUGGCGGGGGAGCACACAACGGGUGGAGCUUGCGGUU